RNA transcript from Oncorhynchus kisutch (coho salmon), 3988 nucleotides. It is a transcript of the gene named polycystic kidney disease protein 1-like 2, with no coding region annotated. The transcript is spliced from 7 exons. The record is from RefSeq and is a predicted model, not a curated record. Lineage: Eukaryota; Metazoa; Chordata; Actinopteri; Salmoniformes; Salmonidae.
UCGACCACAAUGUGAAAAAUGGCACAGCAUCAUCAGCCAAUGAACUGUAGUUGUCCCUCAGACACAUUCAAAUAAUACAGUAACACACAUGAAAAUACAUGAAAUUCAAAUGCAGAAUGCAAUGUGAUGCAUUUCAAAUUAAACUAAACAAAAAUACCCAAGUAGGCCAUUAACUUUGUUCUAGUUUGGUAAAUUUCAGUUCUUGAAUUUGAAGACAUUGGCAAGCUUGAGCGGAGACUAGCACCUAGCACACACAGUCAUAUUCAUCACCCAGCUGUGUCUCUGGUCCACAGUCCAGAAAAACGUCAUCCUUCAGGAGCCCAUCGGGGAGUUUGGUGUCAUCAAGUGCUAUAGCAUGAACCAAUCAAUAGAUGGAGCAAACUGCAAGGCCCUGUAUGGCAGUCCCAUUCAAAUCCAGGUUGAAGUAGAAGCUGAUAAGGAAAACCAACAUGAGCAGAAAUAAAACCAUCUGGUCUUACAUUUCCGAGAGUACAAAUCUUGGUAGAAUGAGACAACUUUUCUAUCUACGAAUGUGACCUACAAAGGUACGAAUGUGACCUACAAAGUCCACCGUGGUGAGAUGUUGGUGGCCAAUUCAUCAGCAGUCAGAGGAAUCGUCCCCCACAACAUCACAGUGGGAUCAGAGGUGGAGCAACAGCUGGGCUCUGGCUGCCACCAGCUGACCCUGCAUGCUUCGGUCUUGGGCGUGUUCACUGAGCUGCAGGUGUCUGGAGCCAACGGCAGCAUCUCAAAGACCAGAGACAUUUGAAAACGGAAGCAUGCAGGUUUACAAUAUCUCAACCACUAUCCAAGGAUAUUUGCAAGUGUAAGUCAGGUCCUGGAUUGUCUUCUCACACAUGGAUGUGGAUAACACAGCAGUUGUUUGUCACAACAGUUCAGACCUCAGACAGAAAAGCAUAUGAGAGUUUGUCGAGCCUACACCUUGAGAAUUACUGCCAGUCCAGAAACUACCCGUCAAGACACUGAAAGCGUCAAACUUGAGGUAACUGGCUUAGGAGGACUAUCUAAUGGAAAGCAGAGCAAAUUUGAAUGGGAAUGCACAUGGCCUUAUUGUGGUGUUUUCUAACCAUUUUCCCUUUCCAACUCCAGUAGAGGAAGACUGUAAGGGUAAGGGAAAAUGCAACGAUAAAACAACGGACAAGACUUGUUUGAUUGAAAAAGACUGUCUUCCAAACCCAUUCGAGCACUUUUUCUGUGAAGAGACGGAUUGGCAAUGGGAAAUGGGUUGACUGGAUUUAAACAUGGCGAUGCAUCACGGUUACUCCAACAAAAUUCACCAACUUUAGAAUUUGGUAAUAUGGGGAUAGGCCUAAAAUAGUGAAGUGAAUAUAUAUGUCAUGCUAUUUAUUUCAUGACAACUCCUAUCAGUAUCAUUAUAAAACAGGCAAUGACAAUAUUAUACAAAUUGCAAUUUAAAUAUCACUACAAUUAUAGUAUCAUCAUCAUAAUCAUCCUCAGAGAAGUACAAGUAACUUCCAAAAUAAAGGAAACACCAACAUAAAGUGUCUUAAUAGGGUGUUGGGUCACCACGAGCCGCCAGAACUGUUUCAAUGCACCUUGCAUAGAUUCUACAAGUGCCUGGAUCUCUACUGGAGGGAGGUGACACCAAUUUUCCUCUAGAAAUUCCAUCAUUUUGUGUUUUGUUGAUGCUGGUGGUGGAAAACGGUCUCAGGCGCCACUCCAGAAUCUCCAAUAAGUGUUCAAUUGGGUUGAGAUCUGGUGACUGAGACAAACACACACACACACACCGUUAACCCUGUAUGCUACUUUGAGACCCCUCUUUCAAAGUCACUGACAUCUCUUCAUCCAGCCAUGGUAACCAAAAUAAUGGGCAACUGGGCAUUUUUAUACAUGACCAUAAGAAUGAAGGGAUAAUAAUAAUUGCAUAAUUAACUCAGGAACAACACCUGUGUGGAAGGACCUGCUUUCAAUAUACUUUGUAUCCCUCAUUUAAUCAAGUGUUUCCUUUAUUUUGGCAGUUACAUGUGUUGGACAUCAUAAUGCUUUUGGACUGGCCUAAGUGGCCAUACAGAAUGUUGAUAAAUAUCUGGAAUGAAUCGAGUUAGAAAUUAUUUAGCUUAAACUAUUGACAGAUUUGUAAUCCUUAAGUGUACAACAGGGUAAUGACAUUAGCAUAUUAAUUGACUGAUUUAAUUAGAAUUCAGAAGAAAAUUGGUCACAUUUAACAUGCGUUGCUCUCAUGCCUAUGGAGCAUGCUGUAAUGACACUAAUAAUAAUGUUGCAUUAAAUGCCCAAUAAUGACAUAAUAAUGUAUGUAUUGCUUUGUUAUUACAAAGGUAAACUGUUUCUGGUACAACACUGUUACUAUUACCAUUUGUAUGAUAACAAUAACUGUCCAUUGCUAUGUAUUUACAAAGCAAUAAUCAAGUUACUAUGUUACAAAAUGUGAAUUCAAUGUUUUUAAGAUGAUCUAUUUUAUGCUAAAAAACAGUACCUAUAUUCUUUCAGUUGCCAGGAUAAUUGUAAUACAGUGGAUGUAAAAUGUUUUUUUUUAAAUGUACAAUUAAAAUUGGACUUACUGUUGAAGGACCCAAAACCUUCAACAGUAAGUCUGAGAUUCCUUUAUUGUUGCAUGCUGAAUGCAAUCAUAUUUUUUAUUGGUAUCAAACCAAAUUUUACUUGUCGCAUACACGUGUUUAGCAGAUGUUAUUGCGGGUGUAGCGAAAUGCUUAUUUUCAUGUGUGAAUGAGUUUCGUUAGAGUGCAUGAAUCAAUUUAUUGACUAACCCAUGUUGUCUAAUUUGGAGUUGACAUAUUGUAGAUAAAUAAAACAAAUUGAUGCAUAAACCCACCCGUUUCCCAACAACAGCCAGUAUCUGUACAGGCAGCUAUGCCAUGUAGAGAAGGAGUUGAGCCUACUGGGACCCUCUCGUUUCCCCAACUCAGACAGCAACUGCCGGGCAGUGCAGCAGGUCCAGUGCAUGAAGGGACUGCUAGAGUCUUCCAGCCUGGGAUGGGAACAGCUGGCUCGAAGCCCAGGCCAAGCAGAGAGCAGUGAUGGGGACAGUGGCAGUAAAAAGUGCUGUCAAGGCGGGCUUCCCUGGUGGUUUGUGUUCAUUGGCUGGAUUCUGGUGUUAGCUGCCAGCGGAGUAUCAGGAUACUUCACCAUGAUGUAUGGGUUGACCUAUGGGAAAGACCGCUCUAUAAGGUCGCUUUUUCAUUCACUGCACCUAUUGGUUAACAUGCAUGUUCAAGGCCUAUGAUUCUGUUGCAGCCUACAUGGGGUUCAUGAUGCUUACUUCCUGACUCAGCACAUAUGGCAGAGCUUCAGCCAAGGGAUCUCAGACAGCAUGAGCCACGGAAAUGUGUUCACCUGGGAAAAUACCUCUCUUCUCAGCAACUUCUUCAGAGAGUACCCAGGUUUCAUCACUGAUGGGAACUCCAAACUGGUUGGUAAUGCCCGUCUUCUCCAGGUGAGGGUGCAGAAGAACUCCUGCCGCAUCGCCCGCUCCAUGCACCAGGCUGUACCUGACUGCCAAGCUCCAUACUCAUGGGAGGUGGAGGACAUGGGCUCCUAUGGGCCAGGCUGGAACCGCUCUGCGAGCGAAAACGCCUCAAAGACCCUCCACAGUCCCUGGCAGUACCAAACCCAGGCCAGACUCAGAGCCCAACCCAUCUGGGGCAGUGUGGUCCUCUACAGGGGAGGGGGGUUUGUGGUGGACCUGGGCCCAGAGUCACAGAAUGCUAGCAGCCCUCUGAGGAAGAGGAGAUAGUGCUGAUGCUGAUGAAGUUCUGCAGCUUGUUCGGGAUCAAAUAUAAGAAAGAAGAUAAAGAAGAAAGUAACAGUCCCAGGGUGAUUGCCAACAAUGCCUCUGUUACUAAGAAAGGACCCUCCACUAUAUCCUCAUAGAUGCUUAGUUCUCAGUAAAGAUCUGCCACUCUGUAUGAAUUGAUAUUGGAACUGCUUUCAUUUAUGUUGCUGAAUAGGAUUAUUAAAACACGUUAUA